Papaver somniferum (opium poppy) is the source of this 414-nucleotide long non-coding RNA. RefSeq lists it as uncharacterized. Lineage: Eukaryota; Viridiplantae; Streptophyta; Magnoliopsida; Ranunculales; Papaveraceae. The record is from RefSeq and is a predicted model, not a curated record. The transcript is spliced from 3 exons.
GUUUGUUUCUCCCCUCCACCCGAUCACCUGAUUUUCCCGUAACUACAAAACCCCAAACAAUAAGUGAAUGAUGGAAUGUGAUUCAACAAGCGUUUGUUGUUCUCGAAUACUUUAGUCGAAGUAGGAUGAAGGUUUCAAAUGGGUAGCCCUGCUGUGGAAUCACGAUUGAGGCUCUACUAUAGGACCGUCGGGCCUUAAUUGGCACCCCAUUUACGGAUGGCAAUCCGGAAGACUAUUUGUUUGAUAACGGUGGCUGGUAUCGGACUACCCUGACGUUGGCACUGGCCUUGUAAAUAGUGGAGUGGAUUUUUAUCUGAAUUAAAGUGAAUGUUAGCUUAUGAAUGUUUAAGAACGACUUUUUACAUUUAUUUGUAAACUUCAUAUUUCAGAUUUAUGUUCUCAUUACUGUUCUUA